GCGCCGCUCCCCCGGGCUCCGCCGGCAUCGCCCGGGCACGUCGCCCUGAGGUCCUUCGCGAGCUUCGGUGCGGCGGGACGCUCGAGAAGGCUUCCGCGCGUGGCAGGCGGCGGACGGGAGCCUGCGUCUUUGCUGUUCUCCUUUCGUCCAAACCCAACUCCAGCCCACCGUCGCUGUCCCUCCAUUAAACGUGAUGCCUCAAAGACCUGAAACGUCCUUCCAAUGACUGAGAGCUGCACGUCCGUGACCCAGCAUCCAUGAGAAGAGCUCCUUCACAGCUUCUCAGACACUGCCCAUGGCCUAACCAAGGACCAUCAGCUUGGGACACCUCCCAGCCCCGUCCAGGUGGAUGUCAGCUGGUGCAUCUCACACUGUUCAUCCCUACUAGAAACCCCCAACACCAGUAACGCCUGCCCCAUCCUGGCCCUCUGCAAGCAGGAACGGGCACUGAACCAAAGGCUGGGCAGUGCGGGGUCACCCAUGAGUCAGGACGCCCUGCUCAGCGCCCAGACGGGGAAGACAGGCCAGAAAUAGAGCCGUUGUUUAGAUAGACGGUGUUAUUGCAGCAGCCUCGCAGCCAGCAAGCUCCCUCUUGCCAAGCAGAAAGGCCCUUUGCUCCCUGCCAGCGAGAUGAAGGCAGGAUUGGGAUGCUCUGGCAGGACACAGGGCCAGCUCCAGCCCCAUGGAAAUCGGCAGCACUGAUCCACCCCACAGUGCUGCAUCCCCACCAGCCCUGGGAUCUCCUUCCCCUGGGUGCUGGGAGCAUCCAAGCUGACUCCUCCUCAAAAAGUUUUCCCCAGCCUGAUCUGAGGACUGAAAGGACCACACCAAGCUUGGCCCACCAAGGUCUGAAUUAUCACCAGGAUGAACACUUUUCCUGAAGGAGCUUGGGCUCCCACAGAGCUGGAAGCUGGACGUUAGUGCCAAAGCCCAUUGCAAGGCUGGAUCCAGCCAACUCUACUCAGAGCAUCCCAAGAGCUCCCCAUUUAGACUCAGCAAAGCCUUGAUGCUUCACCAUCACUCCAGUCCCAGGCUGAAAAUAUUCCUACGCUGGAAAGGAGGGCCCUGAAAGGGGAGUCCCUUUCCUGUGGGCAGGAUGGAGCCAAGCAAAUCAUGUCUCUGUCUCCAUCUGUGGAGAUACUCAAUGCCAAACUGGACAAGGCCCUGAAUGCCCCAGCUUGGGACCUGGAUCAAGCAUCGAUGCUGGCCCUGAUUUGGGGGCUUUGGACCAGAGAUCUCCAGAGGUCCCAUCCAGCACCCUCUAGGCUAUGAUUUAUUUUUCAAGUGAGUUCGACUGGCAGCUCUGCAAAAUCUCUGCACUACAGAAGUCCUUGAAUCACGUUCUCCAAGGUAGGCUCUUUCCUGCAGGAUGUCAGAGGGCGUGUUGCACGCUGGAUCAGUACUGCCAGCCAACAGAGAGGGAAAAUAACAACUCGUUACAAGCCAACUACUGCACCUGCAAGCUCCCAGCCCAACUCCUGCUGACAGACAAUGUGGUAUGUCCAUGGAGGUGAGAAGCUGGAGGACAGCC
Long non-coding RNA from Rhea pennata, 1531 nucleotides. RefSeq lists it as uncharacterized. NCBI's taxonomy places the organism in Eukaryota, Metazoa, Chordata, Aves, Rheiformes, Rheidae. The transcript has 3 exons. The record is from RefSeq and is a predicted model, not a curated record.